This 4287-nucleotide long non-coding RNA is filed under the name Eucalyptus grandis. Its description in RNAcentral is "long non-coding RNA (EGRA_LNC004510)". Lineage: Eukaryota; Viridiplantae; Streptophyta; Magnoliopsida; Myrtales; Myrtaceae. The record is from RNAcentral.
AAACCACCGCCAAAAAAGAAACCUCCAACGGAAGAAACCACCACCCUUGAUGAGGAAACUCUGACCACCUUGGAUGGCAGCAAGAAGCCACCACCGAAAAAGAAACCUCCAACGGAAGAAGCUGGAAUGCAUCAUUACGAUGUAAAGAUCAUAUCAGCAAACAUAGUAGUUGCAUUGUCUAUCUGGGGAAUAAAACAAAUAAAAGUGUAAUGAAAUAUCAAAGCUAGAGCAAAUCCAGUUACACUCACCAAAAAGAAUACACACAAGCAUGACUAUCUACCAUUCUCUCCGUAAUAAAAUUUCUCGACUUCUAUAAGGUCCCCAUGCAUCACGAUCUAUCAACCCAAUUAAAGAGCAUGCCACUCGUCGAGCGAUAUCUAAUCAUCUUAAUAUUUUCUAAACAGAAAAUAAUAUUAAUCUGCUUAACAUACCUGAAGCUAUGAUCGAGACUCCUGGCUUAAAUAUCAUGUACCAAUAAUAAAAUAUGAAGGGGAAGACCAAUAAAAUCGACCAAAACACAGAAGUCGGGACCAUAUAUUAAAAGGCACGAACAAAGACGCUUAUGGACGAAAGCAAGCAACCCCAUUUCAAACUAAAGAGCAACACCUAUGAAUCUUUUGUUUUUUUUUUUCCUUCACCUCGCAUUCUCACGUGACAUGGAUGGCCCCAAAACAGUAGGAAUACACAUUGGAUACGCAAUAUUUUUCUGUGGGUCAUCAGUGGACGGCUUUUACUGGGGCUCUAUGCGUUCGCGAAAACCGUCGGCAGACACUAACAUAACUACCACGGCCAUUGUCUCAUCGAAAAUUCGAGGGGUCGCCGCAUUUGGACAAACAUCAUGUGCUUCGCAUGACGAACUUUGCAGAGGCAAUCAUUGUUGCUGCCAAUCUGUGAUUCUCGAAAUCGCCAUUAGCCAUUUACUCUCUUUCUAGUGUCUUAUCUUUGCAAGUCCCUCCGCUCUGCUCUCCACGUACGUGGGAGAUUACACUCCACGAGCGUCGCAUCUAGAGAGCCGACAGUCCCUGCGACCAAGUAUUGCCGACCUCAUUUUUUAAAGUUAUCUAGUGAGCUUCAAUAGUUAACCAUUAUCAAGAGCAUUAUGUCGCUUGAGAAAUCUUCCGAAAUGCUGAGUGAGCGUAAGGCGUGACUCAUCGCUUGCAACAGUUGCUGUUUAAUCUUCGUGCAAAAGGUGAAAGGGUCGCUACUUUCACGAUGAGUCUGCGUUGGCUAAUCUUGGCAAUCGGCAAGGCAGUUUUACGAUGCAUUCUGCCCGAGGGAGAGGAGACGCGCACAACGCUUGGGGUGUGCCGAGGGCAUAGGUCGUCCUCGCCAAUCGCCAUGGUGGCUUAGGGCUUGGUAGCUCAAUUCGAGGUCCCUCUAUUUCAUGCAUUUUGGGAUGAAAAAUGUCCUUGUUGAAAGAGCGAAAAUAGUUCUAUUUCCUGCAAAAGUAUGUAAAGAUUCGUUGCACGAGCCUCUAAGCUAAGUAUGGAAAAUGGGUAAGUCUUAGGGGUGAGUAUGAUCCAUGUUGAGCUGGUCCAAUAUCUAACUUAGGGGUCAAUCUGCACGGUAUUAGUUCUCAAUUUUUUAGACCAAAGAUUAACCCUAUUGAGCCCAAGACCAAGGAAGUCUAAUCCAAUUCCAGCGGACCAAUAAAUUAUUUUUUGUUUUACUUUUGGUAUUCCUUAAAAAGACAAACGUACUAUUUCAAAUUACAUAUCCAUUAACAAUGUGACAUUAAACAAUAAAACUACAAACACCAAUACCUAUAAAACAUAAAUAUAAGAUCAAGUAAGAAUAGAAAUUUACAAAUGAACAUGCAAAAUGAGGCAAGAAAGGCAAGCAGUCGGGCAAAUGAAGAAAGGCAAGCGAGGCGAGCAAAGAGAUGCGAGUGAUUAGCAAGCGAGCAAGACCAAGGCAAGCAACUAAGGCCGAGGUGAGUUAAGUGGGUUUCUUUUUUUCUUUUUUCUUUUUUCCUUUCUUUUAGGUCAAAUUAAGGUUAUGUUUUUUUCUACUUUCUAAUUUACACGACAAACUAAAAUGCAAAGAAAACAAAAGAGGAGGCCUUAGAAUUUAGAGUAAACAAAAGCAUAUAAUAUUUAAUAUAUAUUACAUAUUAUGAUUCGAGCUAUACUAACCCUAAACUUUUAAGAUCUAAGAUGAACUCCUAUAAUAGAGGAUCCGGUGAUAUGAAAACCAAUGAUCAACCCGCUCGCCUUAGGAGAUAGAUUAGGAUCAAUCGGAUUAUCCCUACACUGGUGCUUGCCCCUAGUUAAUCACUUGCUUUUCCUUCGGCAUGGAAAAAUUGUUAUUUAAUCCGAAUAAGAUGGCUAUUUGGCAAUUAGAGAGAGAGAAUGAGAGGGUUGCGAUGUUCAUAGCCCACAACACGGCCUUGCUCUUUUUGUUUUUCGUAAAUCCAGAGCAUGAGUAAGGUGUUUUUGGAGAAUAUAGGGUUGGGGAUGGGACCCACGAGUCCUUCGUUUGUCCUUUUCCAUGGCGGUUUGCAGGUAAUUCGCGAAUGCUCCUGAUUGCCGCUUCCUCUCAUUUUUAUUUUUCUUUUUCUAAAAUCUUCUUAACUAACAGGUUGAUUUAUUUUGGAGCUUAAAUUAUAUUUUAAACUCUUACAAAAGAAACAUAAGCAUUUUUUUAGCAAGUCCUAAUAUACGAGCCUCGGUUGUUAAUCAGUGGAAGUUUUUAAAUUUCAUAUUCUAGUUAAACUUAGUUGUUUUGCUCCAUAAACUUAUUUAUGACACUCAAAUCUAAAUCUUAACAAAAUAUGUGCAUCAGGUGGAACAUGUAAUAAUAAUCUUCGAGAAACAAGUUAGUCAUAGAUAAGAGUUUAUAAAAUAAAAUAAAAUAAAGCAACAUUAAUUGAGUUACAAAUAAAGAUAAUAAUAUAAUUAGUCGGUUGUACUGCUCAAAAGUAUAGCUUUCUUCUCCAUCUCACAUUUGCCUUGCUCUUCCUAAGUGUCACAUUCUGAAAGUGUGAAAUAGGAACGAGUAUGAGAAUGAUGAAAAUAGUUUCACAAUCAUCUCGUAACUGCUAACGUCAGACUUAUAUAGAUAGGGGUUUCUUUGGCAUCUUUAUAUUGUCUUUGUUACUCCAUUCAUUAGGAAUCUCUGCUUCCAUUUUUUAUACAUAGUUGGCCCUUCUAUGCAUUGCUCUCAUGAUGACAGCUAAAGACUAAAGCCCUGAUCGACCAAGUUCGUCGACACUAACUUUCAAAGGUGGGAUCACUUUUAUACCGCUGGCUAAUGCAUACCUUCCUUGAGAUCAAACAUAUCCAGUUUACAUUUCACACUACACGAGGGAGAUCAAGAGCACGGUCCAGCUUACUUACCUGCCCCAAUUGCAACUUCCCCAAUCAACAUUAACCCCAAUUACAACUUCCCUAAUCAACACUAGCUAAGUCCAACUUUUCAUCUCAGUGCGUGGGACACCCUUCUCUUUUCAGUGUCCUUAUCUUGAAAUAAACCGCUAUGUGAAUGAAAAUAUUUCAAAAGGAAAUCAAGCGGCACGUGUCAAGACGAGAUAGGCCCAAUCCUUCUAUAAAUAACCUACCGACUCCACUUCUCACCAUGCAGAAACCUCAGAAAAUAUGUCUCCAAAAACCAUCUUUGUGCUUUUCCUGCUUACAGUGGUGCUCACCACUGCCACUCUUGCCGACCAUGGCAAACCUCACAAGAAACCACCACCGAAAAAGAAACCUCCAACGGAAGAAACCACCGCCCUUGAUGAGGAAACUCUGACCACCUUGGAUGGUGGCAAGAAGCCACCACCGAAAAAGAAACCUCCAAUGGAAGAAACCAUCGCCCUUGAUGAGGAUGGUGGCAAGAAGAAACCACCGCCGAAAAAGAAACCUCCAACAAAAACCACCACCCUCGAUGAGGAAACCCUGACCACCUUGGAUGGUGGCAAGAAGCCACCACCGAAAAAGAAACCUCCAACGGAAGAAACCACCGCCCUUGAUGAGGAUGGUGGCAAGAAGAAACCACCACCCAAAAAGAAACCUCCAACAGAAGAAACCACCACCCUCAAUGAGGAAACCCUGACCACUUUGGAUGGUGGCAAGAAGCCACCACCAAAAAAGAAACCUCCAACGGAAGAAACCACCACCCUUGACGACGAAACUCUGGCCACCUCAAAUGGUGGUAGGCCUUUCAUGAAGAAGCCACCACCGAAAAAGAAACCUCCCACGGACUAAACCUUGGCCGCCAUGGACGGUGGGCAUUGAGGACUCUGACAAGCCACCAACUGUCAAACCACCUCACAACCCACCAGCUUCUAAC